CUACGUGCCAGCAGCCGCGGUAAUACGUAGGGUGCGAGCGUUAAUCGGAAUUACUGGGCGUAAAGCGGGCGCAGACGGUUACUUAAGCAGGAUGUGAAAUCCCCGGGCUUAACCUGGGAACUGCGUUCUGAACUGGGUGACUAGAGUGUGUCAGAGGGAGGUAGAAUUCCACGUGUAGCAGUGAAAUGCGUAGAGAUGUGGAGGAAUACCGAUGGCGAAGGCAGCCUCCUGGGAUAACACUGACGUUCAUGCUCGAAAGCGUGGGUAGCAAACAGGAUUAGAUACCCUGGUAGUCCACGCCCUAAACGAUGUCAAUUAGCUGUUGGGCAACUUGAUUGCUUAGUAGCGUAGCUAACGCGUGAAAUUGACCGCCUGGGGAGUACGGUCGCAAGAUUAAAACUCAAAGGAAUUGACGGGGACCCGCACAAGCGGUGGAUGAUGUGGAUUAAUUCGAUGCAACGCGAAGAACCUUACCKGUCUUGACAU
RNAcentral lists this ribosomal RNA (486 nucleotides) under uncultured bacterium. Its description in RNAcentral is "bacterial SSU rRNA". It matches the Rfam family "Bacterial small subunit ribosomal RNA", at positions 501 to 987 of the family's 1533-position model. The record is from RNAcentral.